CCCGAAAGAUCGAAUGAGGAGAUUCAUCGUCAGUGUAAUUGGCUAUCAUGUGGUUAUGCGAUGAAAGUUUGAAUUUAUUUGAAAUUCACGCUGCUGCUGUGAUUGUGUCAGUUACGUCGGCGUGCACUUCUCCUCUAGUAGAACGUCGCGACCCGCUGAGUGUUGAUUUAAGGACCGAGACUGUCGACUGUACCGUCGCUACGGCGUUAUGUGUGCAGACACUUGGAUUGCUAAUCAACUGCUCGGCGGUAUGUAUUAAUGGUAUCGAGCCGCACUUGAAUGCGUUCAGACUUAACACAAGCUUGAUCAAAUAACUGGAAUGCGGACCUAGUGCCGUAUCUGGAAGUGAUCAGCUGUUGGUUGAUAAUGUUCUCGAACUGGCUUAAUAUGCAAUUCAGCGAUAUCGGUCAGCGACGCUAUUGCUUUGGGUACUUUCAGGA
RNAcentral lists this ribosomal RNA (440 nucleotides) under Gryon sp. M170. Its description in RNAcentral is "eukaryotic LSU rRNA". The record is from RNAcentral. Lineage: Eukaryota; Metazoa; Arthropoda; Insecta; Hymenoptera; Scelionidae.